Molecule: ribosomal RNA, 116 nt
Filed under: Pteropus alecto (black flying fox)
Lineage: Eukaryota; Metazoa; Chordata; Mammalia; Chiroptera; Pteropodidae
Source: RNAcentral
GUCUACGGUCCUGCCACCCUGAAUGGGCCCAAUGUCUGAUCUUGGAAGCUAAACAGGGUUGGGCCUGGUUAGUACUUGGAUGGGAAACCACGUAGGAAGACCAGGUGCUGUCUUAA